GAAAUGCGAUAAGUAAUGUGAAUUGCAGAAUUCCGUGAAUCAUCGAAUCUUUGAACGCACAUUGCGCCCCCUGGCACUCCGGGGGGCAUGCCUGUCCGAGCGUCAUUUCUGCCCUCAAGCACGGCUUGUGUGUUGGGUGUGGUCCCCCCAGGGACCUGCCCGAAAGGCAGCGGCGACGUCCGUCUGGUCCUCGAGCGUAUGGGGCUCUGUCACUCGCUCGGGAAGGACCUGCGGGGGUUGGUCACCACCAUAUUUCACCACGGUUGACCUCGGAUCAGGUAGGAGUUACCCGCUGAACUUAAGC
This 304-nucleotide unclassified non-coding RNA is filed under the name plant metagenome. RNAcentral describes it as "partial contains 5.8S ribosomal RNA, internal transcribed spacer 2, and large subunit ribosomal RNA". The stretch from base 1 to 105 matches the Rfam family "5.8S ribosomal RNA", at positions 50 to 154 of the family's 154-position model. The record is from RNAcentral.